GAAAAACAGUUGGAGGGUUUUUCACGUCUCCACUGUGUGCAUGAGGACGUGGAGUCUUAGGGCAGGGUGGCUGGCUCACGGUCACCCGGCAAGCCCAUGACAGAAACGUGAAUGGGUCCCAGGUCCCAGCACGGACAUCUCCUGUCUGCACCAGGUGGACUGUAGUCACGUGGAUACUCACUUGACCACUGAGCUCCCAAGGGUGGCACGCAGUGUCUUCUGGGAAGCCUGAGAGGCAAGCACUGAUUCCAGACAGGAAAGCAUAAACACCACAGAUCUUGGGAACUGUCUGUAAAGGUGAAGGAUUUCAAGUAAGGAGAGGCAGCUAGGAGUACAGAUGGGAGGCCUCCCCGGGGAAUCAGAAGACCCGGAACCCCAGUUCUGCUGCAUGCCCUUUGGCAGAGGCAAGUUGUUUAUCGUCUGUCUUCCUCCUCGGACCAGAGGGGCUGAGCCAAAUCCUGGCUCCAUCAGUUCUAAAUGAGUAUCUUUGGAACUUUCCUGAACACCCCCAUGCCUCGGUGGGUUUAUCCAGAAGAGGAGCUCAUACGGUCCUGCCUCGCAGGCUUGUUGCGAAGAUAACGGUGAAAUCCUCAACGAAGGAGCAUGGCAAGGGCGGAGCGCUUUUACUACAAGCUGAAUAUGGGGGCCGUGAUCAUCGCCCCCAUCACUCGUUUAUCCCAUCCUUAGCGCUGAGGCUGUGUCCUCGUUCACGGCUGUAUCUUUAGCACUUAGCAGGCGCGGUAAGACUCA
This 750-nucleotide long non-coding RNA is filed under the name Mustela putorius furo (domestic ferret). Its description in RNAcentral is "lncRNA (ENSMPUG00000027267.1)". Lineage: Eukaryota; Metazoa; Chordata; Mammalia; Carnivora; Mustelidae. The record is from RNAcentral.